GUCGGAAAGUUGAAUAUCGAA
This 21-nucleotide microRNA is filed under the name Gyrodactylus salaris (gyrodactylosis fluke). Its description in RNAcentral is "gsa-miR-1175-5p". The record is from miRBase by way of RNAcentral. Lineage: Eukaryota; Metazoa; Platyhelminthes; Monogenea; Gyrodactylidea; Gyrodactylidae.